This 253-nucleotide ribosomal RNA is filed under the name uncultured bacterium. Its description in RNAcentral is "partial 16S ribosomal RNA". It matches the Rfam family "Bacterial small subunit ribosomal RNA", at positions 524 to 776 of the family's 1533-position model. The record is from RNAcentral.
UACGAAGGGGGCUAGCGUUGCUCGGAAUUACUGGGCGUAAAGGGCGCGUAGGCGGAUAUCUAAGUUGGGGGUGAAAUCCUUCGGCUCAACCGAAGAACGUCGGCCGAUACUGCCGUUCUUGAGGGAUGCAGAGGAGAUUGGAAUUCCCGGUGUAGCGGUGAAAUGUGUAGAGAUCGGGAGGAACACCGGUGGCGAAGGCGGGUCUCUGGGCAUCUCCUGACGCUGAGGCGCGAAAGCGUGGGGAGCAAACGGG